AUUUUAGUGCGGGGGGACACGAAAGUGUUGAGAAGGUUAAAACCUGACCCUUAGAACCUGACAGUUAAUACUGACGUAGGGAGCAGAUGAAGGUAUGAA
RNAcentral lists this non-coding RNA (99 nucleotides) under Rummeliibacillus stabekisii. Its description in RNAcentral is "TPP sequence". It matches the Rfam family "TPP riboswitch aptamer (THI element)". From Rfam's summary of the family: Vitamin B(1) in its active form thiamin pyrophosphate (TPP) is an essential coenzyme that is synthesised by coupling of pyrimidine and thiazole moieties in bacteria. Lineage: Bacteria; Bacillati; Bacillota; Bacilli; Caryophanales; Caryophanaceae. The record is from Rfam by way of RNAcentral.